Molecule: small RNA, 435 nt
Filed under: Pongo abelii (Sumatran orangutan)
Lineage: Eukaryota; Metazoa; Chordata; Mammalia; Primates; Hominidae
Description: sense intronic
Source: RNAcentral
UGAAUUAAAAUCAUAGAAAUUUCUAAACCAUCUAUAAUAAUACACUGUACAAAAACUGAGAUGAAGAAAAUAUGUUACUCCUUCCUGUAGGAGACAGCUUUUAAAAAAUGAAAAUAUAUUAUCACUUUUAAGUUCCUACUAUGUGACAAGAAUUGUGUUAAAUAAUUUGCAUGUCAUCAUAUCACAAUCCUUCUAGCCAUAAAGUAUCUCUCUUCUUUCCUUUACUUAGUUCUUACUCCUUCCCAUUGUGCUUGAGGGAAUUUGGCAUUAUGUGCUAUCACUUCAAUUAGGGAAACACAAGAUCCUUAACUAGGCGGUGUAUAGAAUAUUGAGUUGAAAAGCCAUACCUCUUCUCUACAAGUGUCAGGAUCUUCAAAUGGGAAUUUGAUUUCUAGAAUAAUAAUAAUUUAAUAAAAGUGAUUUCUAGCAACAAAA